Molecule: transfer RNA, 67 nt
Filed under: Aeromicrobium tamlense
Lineage: Bacteria; Bacillati; Actinomycetota; Actinomycetes; Propionibacteriales; Nocardioidaceae
Description: tRNA-Leu
Rfam family: transfer-messenger RNA
About the family: Bacterial tmRNA, also known as 10Sa RNA or SsrA, is named for its dual tRNA and mRNA-like properties. Its role is to liberate the mRNA from a stalled ribosome.
Source: RNAcentral
AACUGCACCCGGAGAAGUCUUGGUUCAGCGUCAUAGGACCCGGGUUCGAUUCCCGGCAGCUCCACCA